UGCGUAGGCGGACUAAUAAGUCAGUGGUGAAAUCUUUCGGCGCAACCGAGAAACUGCCAUUGAUACUGUUAGUCUUGAGUUCGGUUGAGGUAGGCGGAAUGUGUAAUGUAGCGGUGAAAUGCUUAGAUAUUACACAGAACACCAAUUGCGUAGGCAGCUUACUAGACCGACACUGACGCUGAGGCACGAAAGCGUGGGGAGCGAACAGGAUUGGAUACCCUGGUAGUCC
This 229-nucleotide ribosomal RNA is filed under the name uncultured bacterium. RNAcentral's name for it is "partial 16S ribosomal RNA". It matches the Rfam family "Bacterial small subunit ribosomal RNA", at positions 568 to 796 of the family's 1533-position model. The record is from RNAcentral.